UGCGUAGGCGGGUCUUUAAGUCAGAGGUGAAAUCCUGGAGCUCAACUCCAGAACUGCCUUUGAUACUGAAGAUCUUGAGUUCGGGAGAGGUGAGUGGAACUGCGAGUGUAGAGGUGAAAUUCGUAGAUAUUCGCAAGAACACCAGUGGCGAAGGCGGCUCACUGGCCCGAUACUGACGCUGAGGCACGAAAGCGUGGGGAGCAAACA
This 207-nucleotide ribosomal RNA is filed under the name uncultured bacterium. RNAcentral describes it as "partial 16S ribosomal RNA". It matches the Rfam family "Bacterial small subunit ribosomal RNA", at positions 568 to 774 of the family's 1533-position model. The record is from RNAcentral.